GGGGUUGUGGCUCAGCAGUAGAGCACUCACCUCACAUGUGUGAGGAACCAGGUUCGAUCCUCAGCACCA
Molecule: transfer RNA, 69 nt
Filed under: Ictidomys tridecemlineatus (thirteen-lined ground squirrel)
Lineage: Eukaryota; Metazoa; Chordata; Mammalia; Rodentia; Sciuridae
Description: Spermophilus tridecemlineatus (thirteen-lined ground squirrel) tRNA
Rfam family: tRNA
About the family: Transfer RNA (tRNA) molecules are approximately 80 nucleotides in length. Their secondary structure includes four short double-helical elements and three loops (D, anti-codon, and T loops).
Source: Rfam by way of RNAcentral